RNAcentral lists this ribosomal RNA (497 nucleotides) under uncultured bacterium. RNAcentral describes it as "partial 16S ribosomal RNA". It matches the Rfam family "Bacterial small subunit ribosomal RNA", at positions 28 to 507 of the family's 1533-position model. The record is from RNAcentral.
GAUGAACGCUGGCGGCGUGCCUAAUACAUGCAAGUCGAGCGAACAGACGAGGAGCUUGCUCCUCUGACGUUAGCGGCGGACGGGUGAGUAACACGUGGAUAACCUACCUAUAAGACUGGGAUAACUUCGGGAAACCGGAGCUAAUACCGGAUAAUAUAUUGAACCGCAUGGUUCAAUAGUGAAAGACGGUUUUGCUGUCACUUAUAGAUGGAUCCCCGCCGCAUGAGCUAGUUGGUACGGUAACGGCUUAUCAAGGCUACGAUGCGUAGCCGACGUGAGAGGGUGAUCGGCCACACUGGAGCUGAGACAGGGACAAGACGCCUACGGGAGGGAGCAGAAGGGAAUCUGCCGCAGUAGGCGAGAGCUUGGCGGAGCAGCGCCGCGUGAGAGAUGAAGGUCUUCGGAUCGGAAAACUGUGUUAUUAGGGAAGAACAAAUGUGUAAGUAACUAUGCACGUCUUGACGGUACCUAAUCAGAAAGCCACGGCUAACUACGUG